GAUGAACGCUGGCGGCGUGCCUAAUACAUGCAAGUCGAGCGAACAGACGAGGAGCUUGCUCCACUGACGUUAGCGGCGGAAGGGUGAGUAACACGUGGAUAACCUACCUAUAAAACUGGGAGAACUUCGGGAAACCGGAGCUAAUACCGGAUAAUAUAUUGAACCGCAUGGUUCCAUAGUGAAAGACGGUUUUGCUGUCACUUAUAGAUGUAUCCGCGCCGCAGUAGCUAGUUGGUAAGGUAACGGCUUACCAAGGCGACGAUGCGUAGCCGACCUGAGAGGGUGAUCGGCCACACUGCAACUGAGACACGGUCCAGACUCCUACGGGAGGCAGCGGUAGGGAAUCUUCCGCUAUGGGCGAGAGCCUACCGGGGCCACGCCGCGUGAGUGAUGAGGGUCUUCGGAUCGUAGAUCUCUGUUAUUAGGAAAGGACAAAUGUGUAAGUAACUAUGCCCGUCUUGACGGUACCUAAUCAGAAAGCCCCGGCUAACUCCGUG
RNAcentral lists this ribosomal RNA (497 nucleotides) under uncultured bacterium. RNAcentral's name for it is "partial 16S ribosomal RNA". It matches the Rfam family "Bacterial small subunit ribosomal RNA", at positions 28 to 507 of the family's 1533-position model. The record is from RNAcentral.